AAGGGAGACCUAAUUCCGGUAGGAGACGAAAAAAAAGUAGUCCCAACCAAGAAUCAAUCCCAAAAGGUCGGAACGAGGUAUGAGGCUUUCAAACUAGGUUCUGGGUUCAUAAAAGACCUGAAUCAGGAACAAGGGCUAUUAGCUCAGGUGGUUAGAGCGCACCCCUGAUAAGGGUGAGGUCCCUGGUUCGAGUCCAGGAUGGCCCACCUGCACAGGUGGCAAAAGCAAGAGAAGCUCCGAAUCAGCACCUUAUCUUAUAUACAUAUAUAAGAGAGAAUGCUGGCUCUGAGUACAGAGUCCAGAGGAACCUUGAAAACUGCAUAGAGCUAGGUGAAAAAGCCAAAAAAGAAGACCGCAA
RNAcentral lists this transfer RNA (358 nucleotides) under uncultured Microcystis sp. RNAcentral's name for it is "partial 16S-23S ribosomal RNA intergenic spacer". The stretch from base 133 to 206 matches the Rfam family "tRNA". The record is from RNAcentral. Lineage: Bacteria; Bacillati; Cyanobacteriota; Cyanophyceae; Chroococcales; Microcystaceae.